RNAcentral lists this ribosomal RNA (122 nucleotides) under Fragaria iinumae. The record is from RNAcentral. Lineage: Eukaryota; Viridiplantae; Streptophyta; Magnoliopsida; Rosales; Rosaceae.
GGAUGCGAUCAUACCAGCAAUAAUGCACCGGAUCCCAUCAGAACUCCGAAGUUAAGCUUGCUUGGGCGAGAGUAGUUCUAUGAUGGGUGAUCUCCUGGGAAGGCCUCGUGUUGCAUCCCUCU